AGUAACACGUGGACAACCUGCCUCAAGGCUGGGGAUUACAUUUGGAAACAGAUGCUAAUACCGAAUGAAACUUAGUGUCGCAUGACACGAAGUUAAAAGGCGCUUUGGCGUCACCUAGAGAUGGAUCCGCGGUGCAUUAGUUAGUUGGAGGGGUAAAGGCCUACCAAGACAAUGAUGCAUAGCCGAGUUGAGAGACUGAUCGGCCACAUUGGGACUGAGACACGGGCCAAACUUCUACGGGAGGCUGCAGUAGGGAAUCUUCCACAAUGGGCGAAAGCCUGAUGGAGCAACGCCGCGUGUGUGAUGAAGGCUUUCGGGUCGUAAAGCACUGUUGUAUGGGAAGAACAGCUAGAAUAGGGAAUGAUUUUAGUUUGACGGUACCAUACCAGAAAGGGACGGCUAAAUACGUGCCAGCAGCCGCGGUAAUACGUAUGUCCCGAGCGUUAUCCGGAUUUAUUGGGCGUAAAGCGAGCGCAGACGGUUGAUUAAGUCUGAUGUGAAAGCCCGGAGCUCAACUCCGGAAUGGCAUUGGAAACUGGUUAACUUGAGUGCAGUAGAGG
Molecule: ribosomal RNA, 560 nt
Filed under: Leuconostoc pseudomesenteroides
Lineage: Bacteria; Bacillati; Bacillota; Bacilli; Lactobacillales; Lactobacillaceae
Description: bacterial SSU rRNA
Rfam family: Bacterial small subunit ribosomal RNA
Source: RNAcentral